Molecule: ribosomal RNA, 449 nt
Filed under: uncultured bacterium
Lineage: Bacteria
Description: bacterial SSU rRNA
Rfam family: Bacterial small subunit ribosomal RNA
Source: RNAcentral
ACUCCUACGGGAGGCAGCAGUGGGGAAUAUUGCACAAUGGGCGCAAGCCUGAUGCAGCAACGCCGCGUGAGCGAUGAAGGCCUUCGGGUCGUAAAGCUCUGUCCUCAAGGAAGAAUAAAUGACGGUACUUGAGGAGGAAGCCCCGGCUAACUACGUGCCAGCAGCCGCGGUAAUACGUAGGGGCAAGCGUUAUCCGGAAUCACUGGGCGUAAAGGGUGCGUAGGCGGUUUUUCAAGUCAGAAGUGAAAGGCUAUGGCUCAACCAUAGUAAAGCUUUUGAAACUGUUAAACUUGAGUGCAGGAGAGGAAAGUGGAAUUCCUAGUGUAGAGGUGAAAUUCGUAGAUAUUAAGGAGGAACACCAGUGGCGAAGGCGACUUUCUGGACUGUAACUGACGCUGAGGCACGAAAGCGUGGGAGCGAACAGGAUUAGAUACCCUGGUAGACUGUCA